This 428-nucleotide ribosomal RNA is filed under the name uncultured bacterium. RNAcentral describes it as "bacterial SSU rRNA". It matches the Rfam family "Bacterial small subunit ribosomal RNA", at positions 354 to 796 of the family's 1533-position model. The record is from RNAcentral.
GUAGGGAAUAUUGCACAAUGGAGGAAACUCUGAUGCAGCGACGCCGCGUGAGUGAUGAAGGCCUUCGGGUCGUAAAGCUCUGUCGCAGGGGAAUAACACAAUGAAGGUACCCUGUAAGAAAGGAUCGGCUAACUUCGUGCCAGCAGCCGCGGUAAGACGAGGGAUCCUAGCGUUGUUCGGAAUCAUUGGGCGUAAAGCGGAUGUAGGUGGCUAUGUAAGUCAGAUGUGAAAGCCUGGGGCUCAACCCCAGAAGUGCAUUUGAUACUGCGUAGCUUGAGUGUCGGAGAGGUUACUAGAAUUGUUGGUGUAGUGGUGAAAUACGUAGAUAUCAACAGGAAUACCGGAGGCGAAGGCGGGUAACUGGCCGAACACUGACACUGAGAUCCGAAAGCGUGGGGAUCAAACAGGAUUAGAUACCCGUGUAGUCC